This 107-nucleotide transfer RNA is filed under the name Ustilago hordei. Its description in RNAcentral is "transfer RNA-Gly(GCC)". The record is from RNAcentral. Lineage: Eukaryota; Fungi; Basidiomycota; Ustilaginomycetes; Ustilaginales; Ustilaginaceae.
GCAUUGAUAGUGUAGGGGUAUCAUGAGUCGUUGCCAGUCUCAUACACCAAACAGGUGUUUAAUCCACUCGAUUCGACUCGACCGGGGUUCGAGUCCCCGUCAAUGCA